UACGGAGGGGGCUAGCGUUAUUCGGAAUUAUUGGGCGUAAAGGGCGCGUAGGCGGCCCGGUAAGUCAAAGGUGAAAUCCCUCGGCUCAACUGAGGAACUGCCUUUGAAACUGUCGGGCUUGAGGCCGGGAGGGGGUAGCGGAAUUCCCAGUGUAGCGGUGAAAUGCGUAGAUAUUGGGAGGAACACCGGUGGCGAAGGCGGCUACCUGGACCGGUUCUGACGCUGAUGCGCGAAAGCGUGGGUAGCGAACAGG
This 253-nucleotide ribosomal RNA is filed under the name uncultured bacterium. Its description in RNAcentral is "partial 16S ribosomal RNA". It matches the Rfam family "Bacterial small subunit ribosomal RNA", at positions 524 to 776 of the family's 1533-position model. The record is from RNAcentral.